AAAGCGCACGUAGACGGUUUGGUAAGUCAGAUGUGAAAUCCCCGGGCUCAACCUGGGAACUGCAUUUGAUACUGCCUGGCUAGAGUAUCGAAGAGGGAAGUGGAAUUUCCGGUGUAGCGGUGAAAUGCGUAGAUAUCGGAAGGAACACCAGUGGCGAAAGCGACUUCCUGGUCGAAUACUGACGUUCAUGUGCGAAAGCGUGGGGAGCAAACAGGAUUAGAUACCCUUGU
Molecule: ribosomal RNA, 230 nt
Filed under: uncultured bacterium
Lineage: Bacteria
Description: partial 16S ribosomal RNA
Rfam family: Bacterial small subunit ribosomal RNA
Source: RNAcentral